CCCUGAGUCGAGAGGCGACAGGCAUGGCACUUCCGCGUCACCCCAGAAGCUCAGUGCGGCGGAGCGGAACUACGACAUAGGUGAUCGUGAGCUGCUGGCCGUGGUUCGAGCUCUGUCGGCGUGGAGGCACUGGUUAGAGGGGGCUAAACACCCUUUCCUCGUCUGGACUGACCACCGGAACCUGGAGUACAUGCGGGCAGCGAGGAGGCUGACCCCUCGCCAGGCAAGGUGGGCUAUGUUCUUCACCCGGUUUGUGUUUACUCUCACCUACAGGCCGGGGAGUAAGAACGUCGGGGCUGACGCACUGUCCCGCCAGCAUGACACGGAGGAGAGGCCAGUGGAUGAUGCUCCCGUGCUCCCGGAGUCAUGCAUCGUGGCACCGGUGGUAUGGGAACUGGACGCGGACAUCGCCGGAGCACAGCGCGACGAGCCCUCUCCGCCCACAUGCCCUGAGGGCCGUACGUAUGUGCCGGCGUCUGUCCGCGACUGCCUCAUCUACUGGGCGCAUACAUCUCCCUCCUCCGGUCAUCCUGGCAUCGGGCCAACAGUGCGCGCCCUGGCCGGCCGGUGGUGGAUGGUCCCCUCCAGGGGUGUGAGGUGCGGGAGGUUCCCCCUCUGGACAUCGAGGGGGCCCCGGCGUACUCUGUCCGCUCCAUCAUCGACUCGAGGCGCCGGGCGGGGGGCCUCCAGUACCUCGUGGAGUGGGAGGGGUACGGCCCGGAGGAGCGGAGCUGGGUUCCGGUGAAGGACGUCCUGGCUCCCGCCCUUGUCCGCGACUUCCAUCAGCG
Esox lucius (northern pike) is the source of this 788-nucleotide long non-coding RNA. NCBI's taxonomy places the organism in Eukaryota, Metazoa, Chordata, Actinopteri, Esociformes, Esocidae. The record is from Ensembl.